Molecule: ribosomal RNA, 468 nt
Filed under: uncultured bacterium
Lineage: Bacteria
Description: partial 16S ribosomal RNA
Rfam family: Bacterial small subunit ribosomal RNA
Source: RNAcentral
GACGAACGCUGGCGGCGUGCUUAACACAUGCAAGUCGAACGGAAAGGCCCUGCUUUUGUUGGGUGCUCGAUUGGCGAACGGGUGAGUAACACGUGAGUAACCUGCCCUUGACUUUGGGAUAACUUCAGGAAACUGGGGCUAAUACCCGAUAGGAGCUCCUGCUACAUGGUGGGGGUUGGAAAGUUUCGGCGGUUGGGGAUGGACUCGCGGCUUAUCAGCUUGUUGGUGGGGUAGUGGCUUACCAAGGCUUUGACGGGUAGCCGGCCUGAGAGGGUGACCGGCCACAAUGGGACUGAGAUACGGCCCAGACUCCUACGGGAGGCAGCAGUGGGGAAUAUUGCACAAUGGGCGGAAGCCUGAUGCAGAAACGCCGCGUGCGGGAUGACGGCCUUCGGGUUGUAACCCGCUUUCGCCUGUGACGAAGCGUGAGUGACGGUAAUGGGUAAAGAAGCACCGGCUAACUACGUG